GAUCCUGGCUCAGGAUGAACGCUAGCUACAGGCUUAACACAUGCAAGUCGAGGGGAAACGAUAGAGAAAGCUUGCUUUUUCUAGGCGUCGACCGGCGCACGGGUGAGUAACGCGUAUCCAACCUGCCCAUCACUUGGAGAUAACCUUGCGAAAGUAAGACUAAUACCCAAUGACGUCUCUAGAAGACAUCUGAAGGAGAUUAAAGAUUUAUCGGUGAUGGAUGGGGAUGCGUCUGAUUAGCUUGUUGGCGGGGUAACGGCCCACCAAGGCGACGAUCAGUAGGGGUUCUGAGAGGAAGGUCCCCCACAUUGGAACUGAGACACGGUCCAAACUCCUACGGGAGGCAGCAGUGAGGAAUAUUGGUCAAUGGGCGCGAGCCUGAACCAGCCAAGUAGCGUGGAGGACGACGGCCCUACGGGUUGUAAACUCCUUUUAUAAGGGGAUAAAGUUGGCCAUGUAUGGCCAUUUGCAGGUACCUUAUGAAUAAGCAUCGGCUAGUUCCGUG
Molecule: ribosomal RNA, 505 nt
Filed under: uncultured bacterium
Lineage: Bacteria
Description: bacterial SSU rRNA
Rfam family: Bacterial small subunit ribosomal RNA
Source: RNAcentral